RNAcentral lists this ribosomal RNA (481 nucleotides) under uncultured bacterium. RNAcentral describes it as "bacterial SSU rRNA". It matches the Rfam family "Bacterial small subunit ribosomal RNA", at positions 31 to 507 of the family's 1533-position model. The record is from RNAcentral.
GAACGCUGGCGGCAUGCCUUACACAUGCAAGUCGAACGGCAGCACGGGAGCAAUCCUGGUGGCGAGUGGCGAACGGGUGAGUAAUAUAUCGGAACGUGCCCAGUCGUGGGGGAUAACGUAGCGAAAGCUACGCUAAUACCGCAUACGAUCUAUGGAUGAAAGCGGGGGAUCGCAAGACCUCGCGCGAUUGGAGCGGCCGAUAUCAGAUUAGGUAGUUGGUGAGGUAAAGGCUCACCAAGCCGACGAUCUGUAGCUGGUCUGAGAGGAUGAUCAGUCACACUGGAACUGAGACACGGUCCAGACUCCUACGGGAGGCAGCAGUGGGGAAUAUUGGACAAUGGGCGAAAGCCUGAUCCAGCCAUGCCGCGUGUGUGAAGAAGGUCUUCGGAUUGUAAAGCACUUUAAGUUGGGAGGAAGGGCAGUAAGUUAAUACCUUGCUGUUUUGACGUUACCAACAGAAUAAGCACCGGCUAACUUCGUG